AGAGUAAGCCAGGCGGUCGCGCGAGACUUUUGCAGUUUCGUGAGGAAAGUCCGGACUCCACAGGGCACGGGCGCCGGAUAACGUCCGGCGCGGGUGACCGUAGGGAAAGUGCAACAGAAAGCAGACAUCCGAUGGGGCCUAUUAUCAUAGGCUCACAGGUUAAGUUGAAAGGGCGAGUUAAGAGCUCACCGGCGUCAUGGAGACAUGGCGGCCUUGUAAACCCCGCCCGGAGCAAUGGCGAAGGGCAUACCCGCGAAAGCGGGGGAAGCGGCCCGCUUCCGCCCGAAAUGGUGGCCAGCAGGAGGGCUAUUGCGCAGCAAUAUCCCCGGAGGCAGGCAGCAAUGUCUGUCCCAGAUAGAUGAUCGUCCACGACAGAAUCCGGCUUACGGCUUACUCUUUUU
Molecule: RNase P RNA, 401 nt
Filed under: Eubacteriales Family XIII. Incertae Sedis bacterium
Lineage: Bacteria; Bacillati; Bacillota; Clostridia; Peptostreptococcales; Anaerovoracaceae
Description: RNase P RNA component class A
Rfam family: Bacterial RNase P class A
About the family: Ribonuclease P (RNase P) is a ubiquitous endoribonuclease, found in archaea, bacteria and eukarya as well as chloroplasts and mitochondria.
Source: RNAcentral